Chenopodium quinoa (quinoa) is the source of this 2082-nucleotide RNA transcript. It is a transcript of the gene named protein PLASTID TRANSCRIPTIONALLY ACTIVE 12-like, with no coding region annotated. NCBI's taxonomy places the organism in Eukaryota, Viridiplantae, Streptophyta, Magnoliopsida, Caryophyllales, Amaranthaceae. The record is from RefSeq and is a predicted model, not a curated record. The transcript has 11 exons.
AUUACCAUCAAUCAUAAAAUUGCCAGUAAAAUCUUGCUUUUCUUAUCACUUUUUUUUGCUUUGUUUCCAACAUCCUUAUUCUCUCUCCAUAAUUGCUCUUGCUCCAGUUUAAUGCCAUAAAAAUGGCUAAUUUAUCAACUAACUGGGUUUUUCAAGAUAGAGGAUUGAGGUGUUUGAUUCCAUGUGAUGGAUCAUUUCUCAAGGCCUCAUUUGUUGCUUCAUCUUCCAAUACAAUGUUACCUAAUAGAGGGAAGCUCCAUCUUCCAUCAGUUAGGUCUCGGUCACACAUUAUAAAAAGUAAAAAGGAGGACGAAUCCUUUGAGGAAGUAUCUGUUGAACGUGCCCCAUAUCACAGUUAUUUAGACUCAACGUCGGGGAGGAUUGAACCUGCCUCUGGUGCACGUGCAAGUAUUCCAGGACAGGAUUACUGGCCUGAAGGCACUGUUGAUCGAGUCAGGGCUGCCAGAGCUCCAGAACCAAAAGGAGAGUCAACAAGUGCUUCAUCCUUUGGGAAGAGGCCUGGAAGCAGACGUAAAAACUACAAAGGAUCUGUUUCUUUUGCUGGCUCUCAGGAAACAAGUCCAGUCACUUCUGACCUUGCCAUAACAGAGGUUUCAGAUGAUGAUUCUAAAGAUGAUUCUUCAGAAUAUGUUAUCUACCAAUCAGAUCUUGAAAGUGAGGAGCUAAGUGAAUAUGAGCUGGACAAAAAAUUUGGACGACCUCAUCCCUUUGUUGAUCCAAAAGUGAAAAAGCCAAUAGAAAAGCCACUUACAAGUGAUGAACUUUGGUGGAAUUGGAGAAAGCCUGACAAGGAGCAAUGGUCUAGAUGGCAAAGGAGGAAACCAGAUGUUGAAACGGUUUUCCUCAAAGCUAUGGCUGAGACUGGACAGGUGAAGCUUUAUGGUGAAGAACCAACACUAACAGAGACAUCACUCUACAGAGCAAGACGCCAUCUUUUUAAAGAGGAAAGGCUAAAUGCUGAACAAGAGAGAUUGCAGAGGAUAGGCCCCAUGGCAUAUUACUCUGAAUGGGUUAAAGCGUGGAAGAGAGAUACUUCACGUGAAGCUAUUCAGAAACAUUUUGAAGAGACCGGUGAAGAUGAGAAUACACAACUUAUUGAAAUGUUCUGUCAUCAGACAGAUAGAGAAUAUCGCAUAAUGAUGGGGACUGAUGUCCGAAUACGCAGGGAUCCUUUGGCUAUGCGCAUGCGCGAGGAUCAAAUAAAGCAAAUAUGGGGUGGGGAUCCUGUUUAUCCAACUAUCAACUACAUUCAAGACCCAGAUGUUGUGAUUGAUUAUAGAGGUCCAGAUUUUCAUGAACCUACACCUGACAUGCUAGCUCUUCUAAAGGAGCAUGGAAAAAUCAUUUCAAGGGAGGACCUAGAAAAGCUUUUGGCCAAAGAGAAGACUGAAGAGCAUGAGAUGGCAGAUAUGGAUGACGCUAUGGCACGUGCUGUGGAUAUUGGUGAGAAUGAGGAUGAGGACGAGGAUAGUGACUUGGAGGGCAAUGAUGAGAAAGAAGAGAAGAUUGAUAGAAACUGGAGUGUCCAAAAAAGCAAUUCUCAACUUCGCAAGUCAAAGGACAAACCUAAGAAGAAAAAUUCCUUGUCUUUGGAUGAGGCUGUAGAUGAUUCAGAGAACUUAACUGAUUUUCUUUUGGACUUCGAUGAAGAAGAGUAACACCUGCAAUGACUGAAAUACUGAAUGGCUUCAGCAUUAAGGUAGGAAUGAUUAAUGAGUCGUGGAUCCAUGGUACUGCUGUUUACAGAUCAGUUUCUGUCAACAUUUUUGGCGUAUUACCUGGGCGAGUUGGUACUUUGCGAUCAGAAGUGAGGAUCACUUUAGCACCCAAUGAACAAAUGCAACAAUAGGCAGCAGUUGUUGUGUGUGGUGGUGAUUUAUCAUAUGGAGACACGGAGAACCCCUUUGCUGUAAAAUACGUCAUUACUGUGGAAGUAUCAAUAAUUUAGAUAUGUGGAAAUCGUAGAUGUUCAUGUUACAUCUGUUGUACGUUGUAAGACUUGUAACUCUUGUAAGUCAUGUAACCAUGUUAGUGUAUAAAAUGACUAAUGUUUAUAGUUGA